AUUCGUAUAUCGACCACUCCCACAAACGUCUACGACCGCACCUACAUAUUUUUGCAUGUUUACAAUUCUAAUUUUAAACAGCCAAUCGACGUUUAAUUGUAAUUGUUACCAAGAACCUGAUUGGCUGUUCAAAAUUAGAAUUGUAAACAUGCAAAACUAUGUAGGUGCGGUCGUAGACGUUUGUGGGAGUGGCCGAUAUACGAAUUUUUUAUGCGAUUCCACAGUUCGGUG
RNAcentral lists this long non-coding RNA (231 nucleotides) under Paramuricea clavata. Lineage: Eukaryota; Metazoa; Cnidaria; Anthozoa; Malacalcyonacea; Plexauridae. The record is from RNAcentral.